AGUGAACGCUGGCGGUAGGCCUAAUACAUGCAAGUCGAACGGCAGCACAGUAAGCGCUCGCCCUUACGGGUGGCGAGUGGCGGACGGGUGAGGAAUACAUCGGCAUCUACUUAUUCGUGGGGGACAACGGAGGAAAACUUACGCUAAUACCGCAUACUACCUACGGGUGAAAGCAGGGGAUCUUCGGACCUUGCGCGAUUGAUUGAGCCGAUGCCGCAUUAGCUAGUUGGCGGGGUAAAGGCACACCAAGGCGACGAUCCGUAGCUGGUCUGAGAGGAUGAUCAGCCACACUGGAACUGAGACACGGUCCAGACUCCUACGGGAGGCAGCAGUGGGGAAUAUUGCACAAUGGGCGCAAGCCUGAUCCAGCCAUACCGCGUGAGUGAAGAAGGCCUUCGGGUUGUAAAGCCCUUUUGUUGGGAAAGAAAAGAAGCAUGUGAAUCCCUCGCUGUUCUGACGGUACCCAAAGAAUAAGCACCGGCUAACUUCGUG
This 492-nucleotide ribosomal RNA is filed under the name uncultured bacterium. RNAcentral describes it as "partial 16S ribosomal RNA". It matches the Rfam family "Bacterial small subunit ribosomal RNA", at positions 29 to 507 of the family's 1533-position model. The record is from RNAcentral.